AGUGAACGCUGGCGGUAGGCCUAACACAUGCAAGUCGAACGGCAGCACAGUAAGAUCUUGCUCUUACGGGUGGCGAGUGGCGGACGGGUGAGGAAUACAUCGGAAUCUACUUUUUCGUGGGGGAUAACGUAGGGAAACUUAAGCUAAUACAGCAUACGACCUACGGGUGAAAGCAGGGGAUCUUCGGACCUUGCGCGAAUGAAUGAGCCGAUGUCGGAUUAGCUAGUUGGCGGGGUAAAGGCCCACCAAGGCGACGAUCCGUAGCUGGUCUGAGAGGAUGAUCAGCCACACUGGAACUGAGACACGGUCCAGACUCCUACGGGAGGCAGCAGUGGGGAAUAUUGGACAAUGGGCGCAAGCCUGAUCCAGCCAUACCGCGUGGGUGAAGAAGGCCUUCGGGUUGUAAAGCCCUUUUGUUGGGAAAGAAAAGCAGCAGGUUAAUACCCCGCUGUUCUGACGGUACCCAAAGAAUAAGCACCGGCUAACUUCGUG
This 492-nucleotide ribosomal RNA is filed under the name uncultured bacterium. RNAcentral describes it as "partial 16S ribosomal RNA". It matches the Rfam family "Bacterial small subunit ribosomal RNA", at positions 29 to 507 of the family's 1533-position model. The record is from RNAcentral.